AACACGUACACAACCUUCCUAUAAGUGGGGAAUAGCCCAGAGAAAUUUGGAUUAAUACCCCGUAACAUAAUGACGUGGCAUCACAUUAUUAUUAUAGCUUCGGCGCUUAUUGAUGGGUGUGCGGCUGAUUAGAUAGUUGGCGGGGUAACGGCCCACCAAGUCUACGAUCAGUAGCUGAUGUGAGAGCAUGAUCAGCCACACGGGCACUGAGACACGGGCCCGACUCCUACGGGAGGCAGCAGUAAGGAAUAUUGGUCAAUGGACGCAAGUCUGAACCAGCCAUGCCGCGUGAAGGAUUAAGGUCCUCUGGAUUGUAAACUUCUUUUAUCUGGGACGAAAAAAGGCUAUUCUUAGUCACUUGACGGUACCAGAUGAAUAAGCACCGGCUAACUCCGUGCCAGCAGCCGCGGUAAUACAGAGGGUGCGAGCGUUAAUCGGAUUUACUGGGCGUAAAGCGUGCGUAGGUGGCCAAUUAAGUCAAAUGUGAAAUCCCCGAGCUUAACUUGGGAAUUGCAUUCGAUACUGGUUGGCUAGAGUAUGGGAGAGGAUGGUAGAAUUCCAGGUGUAGCGGUGAAAUGCGUAGAGAUCUGGAGG
This 594-nucleotide ribosomal RNA is filed under the name uncultured bacterium. RNAcentral describes it as "bacterial SSU rRNA". It matches the Rfam family "Bacterial small subunit ribosomal RNA", at positions 112 to 704 of the family's 1533-position model. The record is from RNAcentral.